Trematomus bernacchii (emerald rockcod) is the source of this 181-nucleotide small nucleolar RNA. RefSeq annotates it as small nucleolar RNA SNORA81. The record is from RefSeq and is a predicted model, not a curated record. The transcript has a single exon. NCBI's taxonomy places the organism in Eukaryota, Metazoa, Chordata, Actinopteri, Perciformes, Nototheniidae.
CCCUUCUCUAAAGCACCCUGCUCAAACUGCAGGAGCCAAGCCUUCGGGUUUAGCUCAUGUGGCCGUGUUAGCAGUGGUACACCAGGGAAGGACAAUAAAGGCACAGUGUCGCAAUUGAGUCUCUGGGGGACCUCUUUCUUAAUGUCCAGUCCCCUUUGUCUCAAGAUCCUGUGCUACACAU